AUCCAUUUGACGGGUCUCGAAUGGGACGAAACGUACGUCAUGGAU
Molecule: non-coding RNA, 45 nt
Filed under: Schistosoma margrebowiei
Lineage: Eukaryota; Metazoa; Platyhelminthes; Trematoda; Strigeidida; Schistosomatidae
Source: RNAcentral